AGAGAAGAAAGUUUGACAACGCACUGGCUCACCUCACAGGAUGAAGGCUACACCUUGGGAGCAAUUGCCGAUGGCAAGCAUUGAGGACUCUGUAAGUAGGCAAAUGAUUAUUUCUUCGGUCUGACUUCUUGGUGCAUUUUAUGGCUUUCUUUGGCUGCCAGGAUUGCAGGAAUUCCCUUAUGCACUUCAAAGCAUCUUACACCUUCGAAUUACAACAUUGCUUUCUUUGGAAAUAUAUGAAAGGCCGUUGAAAGCCUUUCCAGGAAAAGAAACAAAGACAUCCUGGUCUUGUCUAUUGAAAAGGGAAAACAAACAACCUGCCAUGUAAGAUUUUUCAUCUAGUUAAACAGUAUAUAACAGAU
Long non-coding RNA from Sphaerodactylus townsendi, 362 nucleotides. RefSeq lists it as uncharacterized. The transcript has 2 exons. Lineage: Eukaryota; Metazoa; Chordata; Lepidosauria; Squamata; Sphaerodactylidae. The record is from RefSeq and is a predicted model, not a curated record.